RNAcentral lists this ribosomal RNA (499 nucleotides) under uncultured Glomeromycotina. RNAcentral describes it as "partial small subunit ribosomal RNA". It matches the Rfam family "Eukaryotic small subunit ribosomal RNA", at positions 591 to 1092 of the family's 1831-position model. Lineage: Eukaryota; Fungi; Glomeromycota. The record is from RNAcentral.
CCAAUAGCGUAUAUUAAAGUUGUUGCAGUUAAAAAGCUCGUAGUUGAACUUCGGGGUCUACCCAUUGGUCAGGCUUAAUUGUCUGUACUGGUGAGAUGGAUCUCUACCUUCUGAGGAACUUUCAUGCCAUUUAUUUGGUGUGAUUGGAAAUCAGGACUGUUACUUUGAAAAAAUUAGAGUGUUUAAAGCAGACUAUCGUCUGAAUACAUUAGCAUGGAAUAAUGAAAUAGGACGGACUGAUUCUAUUUCGUUGGUUUCUAGGAUCACCGUAAUGAUUAAUAGGGAUAGUUGGGGGCAUUAGUAUUCAAUUGUCAGAGGUGAAAUUCUUGGAUUUAUUGAAGACUAACUACUGCGAAAGCAUUUGCCAAGGAUGUUUUCAUUAAUCAAGAACGAAAGUUAGGGGAUCGAAGACGAUCAGAUACCGUCGUAGUCUUAACCAUAAACUAUGCCGACUAGGGAUCGGUGGGAGUUAGCUUUAUGACUCCAUCGGCACCUCAUG